ACAAAAUCAUUUCACGCGGAAGAAUUUCAGAUCUUCCCUCCCAAGUUGAUGAAAAACUCAAUUAGAAAUUCUCUCCCAAAUUCAUAAAAACUCGAAAAUUUUCAAUUCUCGCGCCCAAAUUUAUAAAAUUUCUAAACUCAUUCAUUCAAUUUCUUCUUCUCAAACUCUUAAACUCAAAAAUUUCACUCUAAAAUCAGAAACCCUAAAAUCGAGAACGGUAUCUUCUUCUCUGUCCACUUCUAGAACACACCUUUCUCGGUUCAGCUCCACCACACUUGCCGAUUAACCACUCUAUGUAGUUGGUAGCUCGACCAUAUUUCGGUGUUUGCAUAUCAACCUCUUCGGCGUUCGCAACUCGACCAAACCCUGCGGAGGUCAAACAAGUGGAGCUCUUGAGAAUGACGGAAACAAUUACUUCAAGAAAAGCAUUUCACAGUAACAAUCGAUUCUUACACCCAGGCAAUAACUUUUCCUCUAAUAUUCCAGCCUAUUAUACUAAUCGAUCUUUAUGUCAUCUCAAGUGCAAUGAAUGAGAGAAGUUUGAGGAAGGCUCUAGAUAAGCAAUUUAGCCGGACAGCAAUUUGGUUAAGGGUAUUGGGUUUGAUCUUUUCAUAAUUUUGUAAUUCCAUCUGUCUAAUUCCUUUCUUGUUAUAUAGUUUUGUUUCCUUUCUUGUUUAUUAAUGUUUUCACUAUAAGCAAUAAAAAGAGUUUAUUGUUUGAAGUUUAUAAGUAAGUAUUGAUCAUUCACAUGCCUUGUUUUUAACAUGCUUCUGUUGCCACUACCACAUACAGUAGUUAUGGUUAUGUAAUAAUGAGUAGUCAAAACUCAAUUGGUAUUGUUGUUGUUUUUUCUCACAACUGUAGUAGGAUAGCUGCGUGUGCCUUCGACUUUGUGAGUCUAGAGCCCACUGAGGUAAUUUUCUGCUUUUUCUAUGGUGAUUUGUUUCUUACUUGCUGAUCAACAUUGAAGAUGUGUAACUUGUGUCUUUUAAUGGCUAACCUUUCACGUGUGACUAUUUUAUCAUAGGUUGUUGGGAUAAUUAAAGAUCUACUGUCAUGGUAUUGUGACUGCCAAAAGUUUUUCACUUAUGAUGCAGUUUAUGUUUAAAAUGAAAAAAGAAAAACAAAGAUGGCAGUGAACUUUGAUUGUAGUUUUUAUUUUGCCAAUGAACUUUGAUUACACUGGUAGCUAUGCGAGUAGUUUUCAGUCAAAUAUAUUGACAUACUCAUGCCUAAUUUCACAUAAUAUUUCUGGGCGUGUUACUUAAUUAUGAAUAUUUUUUUCUAUGCCAUUCAAAUUUUUCUACGCAGUUAACUAGGUUUUGGUCUCUUAAAAUUUAUCAUUUACUUUGAGGAAUUAACCAUAAUUUUUAAAUUUUAAUAUUAAAUAAAUGAUUUUUGGUUGAUUUGUUUUAGUACAUUGUGAAAGGUGGAAAGGGUUUGUUUUAUUUGUUGUCGGAUGCUGUCAAGGGGACUAAGCAUAUUGGUGUUUUUGGAUGGGGUUCCAGGUAAUUCUUUUUAAAUUCUCAUAUUAAUUUUAUAUUCAAAGACUAUUAAGUAAGUUUUUGGUUAAUGUAUAGAAUUUUGAUACACUAGAGAACAUAAUGUUUCUGUAGCAAGAGUUAAUGAUUUCUAUUCCUUAUAUUGGCUUAGUGCAUUGAACUUUUUCAUUUUUUCAAAGUACAAUAUGUGUAUUGACUAAUUUUGGUUUUGUUUGGAGGGGUGUUUUCAACUCAACAAGUAGGCAUCAGGAAACAUAAAUUUUGAUACACACUCAAGUUAUACGGAUUAGAACCUGGUACUAAUAGGUAACCAAGUAAAUUGGCAACCAACUGAGCUAUUUCGUUUUUGUUGAUUCUUAUUGUUUCAAACUUAAUAUAUUAAUUUGUAAAACGUUAAAAAUGUUAAAAAAACUUUAUACAACUAUUAUACAUAUUAUAUACAUAUUGUAUACUAACAGUUUUUUUAAUAUUAAUUUUUUAUACUAACAUUAUUGUUAAAUCAUUUUAAGUUAAUAUUAAUUUUGUAUACUAACGUUAAUUGUUAAAUCAUUUUGUAUAAACUUUAAAAAUUAUACUAACGUUUUAUUUUUUUAUAUAAUAUAUUAACUUCUCAAAUUUAUAAAUUUCUAAAAAAAUUGAGCAAUAUUAAUUUAUAUUAGUUAUACAAACUUUUUUUACAUGUU
This is a long non-coding RNA of Vicia villosa (hairy vetch), 2185 nucleotides long. RefSeq lists it as uncharacterized. The record is from RefSeq and is a predicted model, not a curated record. NCBI's taxonomy places the organism in Eukaryota, Viridiplantae, Streptophyta, Magnoliopsida, Fabales, Fabaceae. The transcript has 3 exons.